UGGGGAAUUUUGCACAAUGGGGGAAACCCUGAUGCAGCGACGCCGCGUGAUUUAGAAGGCCUUCGGGUUGUAAAAAUCUUUUCUAUGGGAAGAAAAUGACAGUACCAUAGGAAUAAGGACCGGCUAAUUACGUGCCAGCAGCCGCGGUAAUACGUAAGGUCCGAGCGUUGUCCGGAAUCAUUGGGCGUAAAGGGUACGUAGGCGGGUAAGCAAGUUAGAAGUGAAAUCCUAUAGCUCAACUAUAGUAAGCUUUUAAAACUGCUCAUCUUGAGGUAUGGAAGGGAAAGUGGAAUUCCUAGUGUAGCGGUGAAAUGCGCAGAUAUUAGGAGGAAUACCGGUGGCGAAGGCGACUUUCUCGCCAUAACCUGACGCUGAGGUACGAAAGCGUGGGUAGCAAACAGG
RNAcentral lists this ribosomal RNA (402 nucleotides) under bacterium. Its description in RNAcentral is "partial 16S ribosomal RNA". It matches the Rfam family "Bacterial small subunit ribosomal RNA", at positions 355 to 776 of the family's 1533-position model. The record is from RNAcentral.